GCAAAUCUUAGAUGGCUUGAUAUCAAUUACAUCGCUACCGUCAUAUUUUCAGAGGCUACACUUUUCUUUUUCUUUUUUCUUUUUGAUUAAAAAAGUAACAGUUCACGUCGUCAGAGCUCUCAAGGUAUAUUAGUUAAAGCUGAACAUGGUUAGCCUACCUAAAGUCUGUCUGACUGAUGAAUACUUAGGUUUGACCCACUGAAAUUUCAUCAUCUAGCCUAUCUAGGGUUGGUUUUGCAUGCUUAAACAACUUUCAGUUGUCGAUGGACCCUCCUCGGCACAACUCAAUUCAUAUAUGUACAUAUUUCCAUGUGCUACAUACAUGCACAGGUUUGUCUUUGUUAAAAUAUUUGUAGCAGAAAAGAGCAUAUGACGAUCACCGCCUGCACCCCACCACCGAAAAAAUAAUAAUAAUAAUAACAACAUAAGAGAGAGAACCUCAUAUUUCUCUUACAUUACAUCCGGUAUAUGAUGAUAUAUACCGAUGUCCAGACUUUAUAUACGGACUGGUACAAAACAACCCUACAAAAGAGAGAAAAAAAAAAAAACAAACUGAUACCCUAAAAACAUUCUAAUAAGAUCUUACCAACAAAGAAAAAUAAUACAGACCGACAUAGAUUAUCCCAUCACGUAACUCUUGUGAUAUACUAUUUUCAAAAAUUCUUAAACCUCUCUUCCUUUCAAGCAGGGCACAGUUAAAAUUUCAACCUGGGCCAACAGGAGAUCAACCGAUUAAGAGCCUCCUUGUUACAGUUGCUAUUGCAUCUCCACAUACGCAUCUGAUCAGAACCAUCAACUUCCAGUCGUUCUUACUGGCGUUCGUGUAAGCGAGAUAAUUCAUCCACUGAGAAUUUUCAUGUCAUCUAUCGGUCUUUCUCCCCACGAACUCUCGAUUUCCAAACUAUUUUCUUCCAUCGCUACCGCUCUUCCUUUUAUUGGAGUAGAAACUCUUCAUUACAUUGAUUACCUACUACUAAAAACCUAGUUCAUGAAAAAACACGUUUUUUUUUUGGGGGGGAUAAAAAAACAUAGUUCACAGUAAAAGACGUUAAAACACGAACGGCGCAACCACACAUAUACACGGAAGGUUGGGGAAAAAACCUAACAGGAAGGUACCUCCUAAAUAAUAGGGAAAUACGGUAUCCGUAUGACCCGCACGUAUAAGCCCCCUCCGCGUCCCACCCGCCACCGGCCAGUGCGAUGAGAGCCACGCGCUGCAGCCGGAGCAUCGCCAGUCCAGCGCAUGGGCCCCAGCGCGCGAGCCCAUGGCGUAGGGGGCACGAAAGGAGCUCCACACGCACAGGCAAACGGAUACCGCCGUUUCCUCCUGCAUAUUAUUUCGGAGGAACGAAGUCCCGUAGUUUGGGAUUCUCCUCAUAGAUGAAAAAGGCGUAGAAGCCACCGAGAGUGGUCGUGCCUGCCAUCGCCCACACUAUUACCUUAACCGCCAGCGGCAUGAUGGCCGCUACCUUAUAACUAAACAUCAGGGUAAGAACUGUGGCAAGGGUCCAUACCACCACCUUCAACCUUCCCCUUUGAGUGGAAGUUUCCGGUGUCCUCUCAAAGACACGAAGGAAAUAAAAAAGGGACAUGAGAUCGACGUAGGAGCCCACAACGAAGGCCACCAUCCAUGGGUCGUUCAUGGAGCGGUAGAUGGCGAGGAUCGAGUUAUAUGUGAGAAAAGCAAAACCGAGAUAUGACAGCCACGAAUACUCAUCUUUGUUUCGAGCCAACUCAGGCCUCUCCUGGGCGCCCCGGGCGUUUUCGGGAGCCAUGAAGACCGUUAGGAAGCAAGUUUAGCCAGCACUAGGGAGGCAGAUCGCAGAUCGCAGGAUGGUUCGCAUGGCCACCGCGCGAAGAGCAUUUAAGUAAAACGAGCAUAGAUCCCCUGCGGUAGGCGGCAGCAAUGCAUAUUGUGGUGCACUAAUAAAGAGCUGCCAUCUGGCCAGCAAUUCAAAAUACAUAUCAUAUUAUAUGCGACACACGUUAGUGGCUAUCCAUAAUGCGAAGCAUUCUGUGGUGCGGUGCGCGAUUCUUCUUAGGCAUCCUGGUCGAUUGCCAUAGCUUUUACGCAAGUUUCGCCGACCUACCAAAACAAAACAAAUUGCGAAACUUCCAGGAAAUUUCAAAUAUAAAACUUAUUUCAAGAAGUCGCCGUCCAUCACAUGUCCCAGUCACAUCACAUGUCCUGUCAAUGUUGCCAGAAAAAAAUCAUACGGUCCCCACUUCUUUUUUUUUUUUGGGGGGUGUGGUUACACAGGUCACCACCUUCUUUGCUUCCCUCCCGCCCCGCAAAAUUAACUUCCACUUGGAAAAAUUUCCGAAUUUUAAGACCUGUGGCCAUCCUUAAACCUUUGCCGAUGUUACGAGAAAGUUUGUUGGUCGCCGCUACCUUCACCCUUUUUUUUCCUUUCCCUCUCUUGUUAUUUUUGUAAGGGUUAAGUUCACUUUCGAUGGAUCGGAUCCAGAAUAUAAGCCAAACGUGUAAAGGAACACACUAUCGCUGCUCGUUUAAGACGGAAUCGGUAUCGUCACCGGCAUGUGAGCGCAACAAUAUUAAAACCUACCCUGCCGACUAACGUUAUUCAAAAGUUUGAAAGCGGUAGAAGUGCGCGGGUCCGUGCACACACACCGACGAUAGCGAUUCCCACGAAACCUUGAAGGCCCCGCUCCCGUGGAUCUUUCUGAAGAAUUCGGUGAUAUUUAAGGCCUGGUCCCUCCUGAUUGGUUUCUUUCGGAGAGUGGAUGCGCGCCUCUCCUAUCCCAACGGCAACCAGCGUGACGCCACGAAUGACGCCCUCGAAGAGAUAAGGAUUCCUAUAUAGAUGAAAAGGACAGGCCACAUUUUCUUUGCCGGCCAACUUCUGGACGCAUCGACCGGCCCUUUUUUCGUGCCUUAAACGCCACGCAUUAUUUUAAUAAUGCAUAUACCUACUACAAGACACUCGAAUUUAAACCAUCUCGCGACCAUCCGUCGCCCCGCAUGCAUCGGGCACGCACAAUGGUACGUGGGCGUGCCGUUGGGUGUCCGAACGCUGGUGCGACUAACAGUCCAUCCCCAAAAAGUAAAAGCACUGGAUUGAUAAGCGAAGGUCGGACGAGCGACUCUUGAGCGGGACACGUGAACGGAGAAUCUAGCCUUCUUACGGGAGAAAUUAUACUUGACGAGAGAUUAUUGGUUGGAUCAAAUCCACCAGCUAAGCGAUCGACCAACAAGCAUUAAAAAAACACGCGAUCAAGACCUGCCGCACUCAUGCAACUUAACUUUUUGUUGGACUGGUCCACGGCUGAACUUACGGACCUAGUCCAACCAAUAAUUUUACAUAUUCCACAAUCGUGUACCAUACGACGGGCGACCACACCAAGCACAAUCGCGAGGACCUAAUCGUCCAACGUUUAAUCUCGGAGAAAUUAUUGCCUAGACCACGCCCAAGUAGACCAGCGCAAAUCUCGGAGCACGUGCACGGUGGAUAACGCGCAAUCGGGAAUUCGCGACAAGCAAGAGUUGAUGUGGCGCGUUAUUCACCGUGGGAUUUGGCUGGUCCAGCUGGGCUUAAUCAAGGAACACCGCCACUAAAACAAGCGGCUGAUUGGGGUGAUGCACCGUCACUUGGUGCAUAUGCUGUUGGAUAUAACUUAUCCUCUUUCCUCCCUUUUUUUUUUCUGUCUUCUACGUCACCGCCGCCGCCGCCGCCGCCGCCGCCGCCGCUGCAUGGUCGCUGGUGGCGAGCCUCGCGUCACCAACUGCUCGAGGGGGAGAGAUAUAAUCGGAGGGCACGCCAUCGUCGAUAUUUGCCUUCGCAUUCUUCAGCUCGGGGAAGGGGGAAUUGGUACCGGCGCUCGGAGGAACAGGAGCCGUAGCAAGAGAACGGAAUCGAAUAUGUUCAGCAGAGGAGAUUACCCCGACGGGAAAUUUAUUUGACAAGAAGCAAAAUGCUAAUCCGCCUUGUCCGCGGUGGUUAGAACGCGGAGUACCGAAUACAUAGAGCGAUGGGAUCUUAUCCGUCGCACGUAUACUUGUGCCCCGGUCCUUUCGUGUUAUUUCCGCGUCUGAUUCGCGUGGCGGGGUUCUACCGCGUUGCAUCGCCCGAUGACACCAUUCCGCGUAGCGGCCUUCCUACGGCCUCCGGAAUGCAUGCACCCCUGGUUCACUUGGACCUGGUGCAUGCCAGAUUUUCUCCUACCCACGCCACCGACACAGCCGGCGACUACCGUCUAUGGACUAUGCAUUGCGGGUACCACAUAUAGGCCAUAUCAUCAUUACGGUGGUGGAGUAUAUAAUUAGAUUUUGUCACCGAUGCUACUGAGAAUAGAAAUCUUAAAUAGACGUACAAAAUAUGUAAGAUUUAAAAAAAAAACAAAAAAAAGGAAAAGUCUAUGCACCCAAUAAAAAAACCCAACUUAAUUAACUAAUUUAUUCAAUAAAAUUUUAAAAAUCAACAAAAUAUCCAACAAAUUAAGGAGAGCAUUAUAGUACCUAUCUAAAAAAUGAUGUUCAAAAUUAUUCUAAUCAUCAUAUUAUUAAACCCAUAAGCUAUACCAUAGAAUUUUAGAAGAAGCUGAGUGGGAACACAAAGAUAUCAAAGAAUCAAUUCAGUUUUAUGCCAAAAAGAUCAAAUAUAGAAACUAUUUUUCUCCUUUGAAGUUUGAUAAAAAAAUAUAGAGAAAAAAAAUAAGAUUUUUAUAUAAUUUUUAUUGAUUUAGAGAAAUGAUAUUAUGAAGUUUCCAGAGAAGUCUCAUGGUAAGUCACAGAAAAGAAAGGAUUUUAUCGUAAUUAUAUUAAUGUAACUAAAUAGUUACUAGUGUGAGUUAUCCAAUCAUAAUACAUUUGUAUAAAAAAAAAAAUACUCAAAAUCCUUCCCUUUUUACUGGGUAUAUUCAAGACAAUAUUCCUUACCGCAUGCUAUUCAUCAAUGAUAUAAUUUUAGUGGAUAAUCUAAAGUUGAAUUGUAAAGUGAAAUUAUGGAAGAAUCAAAGAAUUUUGUACUGAGUAGGACUAAGACAGAAAACGUGCAAUGUAGUUUUAGUAAAAUUAAAAAUAAAAGUGAAAAUAGAAUAAAAGUUAAGGAUCAUAAAGUUUCUUAAUGUGAUCAUUUUUAGUAUAUAUGAUCAAUUUUUAUAAAAAAAUGAGAUUGAAGUGCAUGUUAUUAAUAGAAAUAAAGUAUGGAAACUAAAAUAAAGAAGUACCAUCAGAAUAACAUGUGAUCAAAGGAUAUGCACUAAAACAAAGAGAAAACUUUAUAUGACAGUAAUGUGACCAGCUACGCUUCAUAGUAUAAAAUUUUGACUAAUUAAAAAAUAAAAUGUGCACAAAAUGAACAUAAUUGAAAUGAGAAUGUUAAAAUAGAUGUAUGAUAAUAUAAGAAAAGAUAGAAUAAAUAUAAAAUUAUUCAUAAAAAAUAUAAAAGUAACACUAACUAAGGAUAAAUUCAAAAAGAGAAUAAAAAUCUUAAAUAUACAUUAAGAGGAUCAAAGGUAGAACAAGGUUAUGCACACAAAAAACGAGAAAAGGUUAGCAAAAGAAAAAGAAAAGAUUAGUUGAUGUGGAAAUAACUUAGUCAAUUAAUUCAUCUAAUAAAAAAAUUAAAAGUAGAAAAAUGAUCACUGAAUGAAGGAAAGCACCAUAGUACCAAUUUACAAGAAUAAAGAUAAUAUUUAAAAUUAUUCUACCUAUCAUAGCAUUAAACUUAUGAAUUGUACCAUACAACUAGGGAAGAGGGAGAUCAAGCAUGGUGAUUAAGGUGUAAAAUAAAGAUAUCGGAGGACUAAUUUAAAAAUCAAGCAUGGUUUUAUGCUAAGAAGGCUGACUAUGGAAACUAUUUUUCUCAUUUAAAGAUUGAUAUAGAAAGCAUAUCAUAAAGUUUCUAGAGAUGCCUUAUGGUGUGUAAUAACAAAGAUAUGAGUUUCUAAUGGUUAUAUUAAUGUAAGCAAGCAGUUACUAGUGUAAAAAGUAUCUGCGAUGAUACCACUGAAUAUCCAAUCAUAAUAGAUUUAUACUAAAAAUUUGCUCAAGAUUUUUAUCUUUUUGUGCUAAUUAUGGAUGAAGUUAUUUAAAAUAUACACGAUGAUAUUUCUUGUUGUGUACUAUUUACAAAUGAUAUAAUCUUAAUAAAUAAAACUAAGAUUGGAGUUAAUCAUAAAUUAAAAUUAUGCAGAAGAGCACUAAAAUGAAAGGAUUUCAAAUUAAGUAAGACUAAGACGAAAGACACGCAAUGUACCUUUAGUAAAACUAAAAAUAGAGAGAGGGAGCGAAACUAGAUGAUCAUAAAAUUCCUAAAAGUGAUCAUUUUCGAUAUUUAUAAUUGAUUUGGGGGAACAAAAACAUAGAGAAGUAGAUAGCAUGCGAUGAAAUUAGAAGAAUAGUUAAGAUUAAGGGUGAGACUAAACAAAAUAAUAUCCAUCCAUACCAAUUUUUGAAUCCAAAUAAGGGCAUGUUUUGUUGGGGGAGUUAGAUUCAUGAAUGAAAAUGAUUGACUCCCAUUCCAGCCAUUUGAUUAAGGGAAGCCAUAUUCUCAUUCGGAUUCCUAGGGAGAUAGAAAUGCUCCAAUCCCCCAAAAAAAUCCUACUUUUCUAUAGUAUUCAAAUUCUAUUCAAUGGCAAUAGUCAAAUUAGAUCCACCUCCACACUGUCCGACCUCAUGUACCUCGGAUAUGGAUAAUCUGAAAACAUGAUCAAGUCGGCCCGGAAAUAUCGAUGACAAUUACACCCAUACAACCAUCAUCGCAUGUUUAAAGUGGUUGCAAUUGUGAGAUUACAUGGGUAUUGAUUAGUUAAGCACUAUUAUAAUCAUUGCUAUGUAAUUACUGCACGUCCCAUCCAUCUGAAUAAUAGUUAUUGAACUCCCUCUAUAAAUAAAGACAAACAAAAAAUCCUCAGAUAAGUCAUUUGAUAACUCAUACUCGCUCUCAACUUUUUUUUGCUUUUGAUUAUUCUUUGAAUUCUGAAUGACUGAAGCAUUGAAGGAUCCCUCGUCAGAAAAAUCUGAUAAGAAAAAUUUAUUUCAAGCUCAUCUGCCGACCAUGGAGUAGCAACAACUACAUCUUUAAGUCUGCAUAGCACAUUGAGAUAAGGCUAUUCACAUUGGUCUUAUCGACCUUAACUCCAGAGUUAAACAGCAACAUCAAUCAUUGUGCAAUACAUAAAUCAUCAUGAUUUGAAGAUUAGAUCUUUUCUUAAAUUUUAAAUAAGAGAGGAUCAUGACUAAAAAAAGUUUGAGAAUUCAGAUCCCCUUUAAUUCGGAUACAUUAGAGAGAUGACAUCGGAUUUCAUAAUCAAAAUUAGAAUCAGAAUCCAAAUGGGAUUUGAAUACUAUUAGAGAGUAGAGAUUAAUUUUUUAGGGAUUCAUACAUUUCCAUUCUCCUCAAGAAUCGAUAUAGAAAUAAGACUCCCUCUAAUCAAAUGGCUAGAAUGGGAAUCACUCAUUUUUGUUUCCAUUCUAAAGUCCAACUCCCUCAGUCAAAUAUGCCCUAAAUUUACUCAAAUAGAAAAUGAACUUGAGUAUAUGGUUAAGAUGUAUAAGCACAAAACCAUGCAGUGCAGAAAAGAGAAAAUAAAUAAAUAUAAAAUUAUUAAAAAAAUAAAAUAUGGAUUAAAUUUUAUAUAAAAGAUAAUAUCUAAAUAAAAUUUGUAAUAUAUUGAAUAGGUUUUACUAUUUGUGAGGAAAAAACUUGGCAAACUCUAAUAAGUUAGAAAAUGAUUAAGCCCAAGCAAUAUAAAUUUGAAAUUUAUGGACUACACAUAGAUACAAUAUGAAGAACCAAAACCUAAUCGAAUUGGCACACAUGAAAAUUAUCAACCGUAUAUUUCGCUCUUUAACUAAAAUUCCCUGUUACACACUCUAUGUUCUAAAUCCUCCCUUAAAAGGGAAAUCCUAGCCGCUAAUAUGUGGUUUCUAAAAUCUAAAUCAUGGUUAUCUAGGUUUUCUUUUUUCUUUUUUUUUCCUCUAGGCGAUCUCUAAGAGCAAAAACUAUUUGUUAAGAUACUUAAAGCUACUAUUAUGGUUAUUGAAAGUGUUGUCUUAAAAUAUAAACUUUGAAAAUUGCUAAUUCGAUGGAAGAGUACCUGCAAAUAUGAUACGUCCAUAUCCUCCUUUCAUUCUCGUGCCUUGGUAGUGCCCCUCCACCACCAACACCACCACCUAGUUUUCCUUCAACACCAACACCACAACCAGCACCACCACCAACAGCAUUCUUUGUUAAACUUUUUGAAAAAAUUAUAAAGUAUCAUCAAUAGGAUAUAACAUUAUGUUUACGGCAUGAUUGAUUUAGUGCUUACUAUAUAUUUUCUGCGCGUUCAAAAGGGUUUUCAAUGUCUACCUGAUUUUAUAAUCUGGCAGUAACCUGCUACUAUUCGUAUUUGUCCACAAUGAUGCUUGUCUUUCCAAAUCCUCCACGCUUAUCUGUUAAUAUUCAGAUUUUUAGGACAACUUGGAUUACGCAGUGUAUGAAGAAUAACCAAAAAAUAAGUAUGAUGAUAAGAUAUAGGCUUUUCGAAGGUAGAGGACAUGGAUUCUAUGCAUUAGAAGGUUUUAAGAAAAAAAGAACCCCAAAUCCUUGAACUCACACAAAUCCAUAUUAACAUUAGAGAGAGAAGAAAAUGUCAGGAACCUGGAUGCAGAUGGUGCUGGGGUCGAGGGACGAGAGAACUCGAGCCAGUUGUUCUUCACGUGGAGAAGCAAAUCGUUGGUACUCCACUUGGGGAACUUCAGAGGCUCCUCCUGCUCCAAUUUUCCUCGAUCGAAGAAAGGCAUUCCCUUCUUCAACUCACCGUUUUAUUCCAUUAAUCCAAUGAAAAAGCUACGAACUUUUUUUCCCUUUCAUCGUUUAAGCUUAUAAACAUACGAUUCGUUAAAAUCCCUAUAAUAAACCCAUUUAAAAUCCCAAAAGUUCCAAUUUUUUGGGAAAAAUCAAGCUAUUCGCAUUAGCGAGAAACUCACCUCAGCGUUCCUCAACCUGGGCGCGCGGUCCGCAUCAUUCCGUCAAGACCGUCCGCUUCGAGGGGUGCAUCACCUCUUGCAACCCUCGAGACGAAGAGUCCGCAAACCAUUAGCUUUCCGAGAAUCAAACGCGAGGGGAAUCACCUCGAGGUUAAGAAAGGGUCACUAUCGAGACGAAGAGUCCGCAAACCAUUAGCUUUCCAAGAAUCAAACGCGAGGGGAAUCACCUCGAGGUUAAGAGAGGGUCACUAUUGUACCCGCAUGAUCUUGUGGAGGCGGUGCUCAACGUAGGGGCCGAGGGCGCGGGCGACAUCGGAGGAGAGGUUGGCGAUGCGGAUGCUGGGCGCGAUGACCUUGAUGGUCUCUUCGGAUCGAUGCUGGAUGGUCUCCUUUCUCUCGUCCUAAUUGAGCUCUCUUCAGGCGGGAGGCUCCCUUUACUACAGAGCUCUCCUCACGCGGGAGAUGUUCGACCGUAUGCCCUCGAGAGAGCGAGAGAAGGGAUACAUGGAGCGGUAGGGCGAACUGGGUUCGCUUCUAUGGUCUGGGUGUAAUAUUCGUGCUCGAGCUUGUGCCUUUGACGGAUCGGGUUUGGAUUCUGGAAUCCGUUUUGGGGUUGGGAUCCAGAAUUUCGGUUUUGUUUGCGAGCUUAUUUAAUCUGGCACAAUUGCCUGUGAGGAAAAAUAACUAAAAAAUUAAUACAUCUUCUACUUGAUUUAUUUUCAUCUAUUCCAAUUUCCAAUUUAUAUCUUUAUCUAUUUUAAAUAAAUAUAAAUAUAAAUUUUAAUAUCCAAUUAAUACCUAUAUGCACUUAUCAAAUAAAUAACCAGUAUGGAUAUCCGAUUAAUUUUCAGUCUCAUUAGUAGUAGAUAUAAAAGCAAGACAUGAGAUGUUCUGGACAUUGCUAUCGAUGUGAUUACUCUUGGUGCAUGCAAUGCAUGUAUACAGAGAAGCAACCAGUAUAAUAAUGAAUAGGGGACAAAGGUUUCUUGGGUUAAAAAAAAAUACUGAUAACACAUUUAAAUUUUGAAUUAUAUGAGGUGGGAGUUUAUGACAAUGAAAAAUGAUAAUCAAAAAAAUAUAAAUAAUUAAUAUAUUAUUUGUGGUAUUUGCUAACAAUGUGGAUAUGCUUGUACAAAUAAUAUUUCUUUGAAAUGUGAAGGGUAUUUCUAUUACUGAGUUUGUUGGAUUUAGAAUUUAUUUGACACACUCCUCUCAAUUUAUGAUAUACUAUAUAUUAUGGUAUAGAAGGAAGGACAUCAUUGGUCUCACAUUAGUUAUGAGUCAAGAGGAACUCAAGCUUAUAUAGGAAGAGACCAUCUUUUCCACAUAAGGCGUCUUUUGGAUUGAAAUCCAGAAGGACGAACCAUGAGUCCCAUGGGGUGGAGCAGAUAAUACCUCGUAUGCUGAAGCACUGUAGUCUCCUUAACUGGGGGCUAUAAUGUGGUGUAAAUGGAAGGACGUCAUUAGUCCCAUAUUGAUUGAGCCAUGCCUUUGAUCGCAACAUUGUAUAUUGUUCUUUGAAGAAAAAGUAUUAUAUGUUCAUACAAAAAGUUGAGUAGGAACAUAAUCACAGAUGUAAUCAUUCAAUAAACUCAGCACCAAUCGACUUGUCACCAUCUUUGUAAAUUGAAUGAAAUAAUAAACAAACUUGAAGGUUCUCUCAUACAACGGAUGUGUUUGCAAGAUUCAAUUUGUGGAUUGAAAUGAUUUAUAAUGAUUCCCAAAACGAAAUGUGUGUUGAUACUCAAUUUUUUUCAAAACAAGCAAAUUUCUAAAACUUAAUGCAAACUACAUAAAAUCCUAUCUUGAACCAACUUAUCUGAAUAUAAAGGAGCCCACAAUUAUAUUGGCAUCAAUCAACUUAUUUUUUAUAUCAUUAAAUAUAUCACUCACUCUCUUCCUACCUUGAAAACUCGAUGGUGUUUUUUGGCCAAGACCAUAUCCUUGCCAUUUGUUUAGAUGUGUUGUUACCACAAUCCAAACCAUAAAGUUGAGAUUGAUAUGGAAGUUUUGAGCUUGGAAGUUGCAUUGUAGAGUUGAAAUAGCUAAUAGCAAAUAGAUCCAAACUCAAGUAAAGCAAUGCCUUGUUAACCUGAAAAUAGAAAAGAAAAUCCUUUUACUUGAGUUUGUUGGUGGGGAACCCUCGGCUUGUCACCAUCUUUGUAAAUCAAAUGAAAUAAUAAAUAAGCUUGAAGGUUCUCUCAUGCAAUGGAUGUAUUUGCAAGAUUAAGUUUAUAGAUUGAAAUUAUUUAUAAAGAUUCUCAAAAUGUAUUGUGUUGAUACUUAUUUUUUUUCAAAACAAGCAAAUUUCUAAAAUUUUAUACAAACUACAUAAAAUCCUACCUUGAACAAACUUAUCCAAAAUAUAAGGGAGCCCACAAUUAUAUUGACAUCAAUCAACUUAUUUUUUGCAUCAUUAAAUAUAUCACUCACUCCCUUCCUAUCUUGAAAACUCAAUGGUGUUUUUUGGCCAAGACCAUAUCCUUGCCAUUUGUUUAGAUAUGUUGUUACCAUAACCCAAACCAUAAGUUGAGAUCGAUACGGAAGCUUUGAGCUUGGACGUUGCAUUGCAUAGUUGAAAUAGCUGAUAGCAAAUGGAUCUAAGCUCAAGUAAAGCGAUGCCUUAUUGACCUGAAAAUAGGAAAGAAAGUCCUUUUACACAGAGUUUGUUCGUAUGGAACCCUCCAAUAUUUAAAUCAGUUGGAUUCUUGGAAAAUAAUGAAAGGUUUGAGAGGGAGGCAAGGAUUUUAAAGAGAGAAUGAAGAGAAAAAUAUACUUGGAGCUUGAAGGUCCUCAAAUCUCUCCUAUAUAUAGAAUGGGUUGGAGUCGAUAAUCGAGAAUAAUAAGAUGUGCAAUAAUUGGUUGGUACCAACUCCUAUGUUGUGCAUUUGGUGAGAAUCAUUCUAAUCAUAUAGUACAUUCGAGCUAGCAUAACUGUUGCCGAUAUCAUGACUACAUUUUUAAUGGACACUAAUAUAUAACCCAUGCUUCGCGGUGGGGUUUAAUUGAAAUAAAAAAAUUAAAAUAUUUUAUCAAUAUAUAGAUUUUUUCAUACAAUGUAACAUAUAGUGUUUUCAUGAACUAAGGAAUCUAUAUCCAUGCUAAUCUUCAUCUUCGGUAACCUCUUCAUUUAAAAUGAAAAUAAGAAUAUCAAAAAAUUUUAUAGAGCAUUACUAAAUUGAAAAAGUUCUAUAACAAAAUAUAAAUCAAAAAGAUUGAAAAAUAAGUGGUAAUAUUUGAAAUUAAAUAAUCUCCAAUAUAAUCUUUAUAUCCUCAUUCCAUCAUUUUGAAUCUAUGUCACAAAUAAAAUCCAAUGACAUUCCUUUCAAAUGAAGCUAGAACAAAAGUUCCAAGUAUAAGAUGUAUAAAAAUUUUUAUUACAGAAUACAAACAUACGAAUAAAAUAAAUACAUCAAUAUCAUAAAAAAGUAUCGAAUAAAGAUAAAAAAUAAAAUAAAGGACUUGCAAUAAGUUUUUUGCACAUGAAAUUGAUAUGCAAAAUCAUUCUACUUUAAUUUUUCUAAUAUUAGCCCAACCUUAAACCAAUCCCUAGUUAAAUCAAGAGUAUAUCCAAACUGGAUUCGAAAAAAUAAACAAACUUUAUAUUUUAAUCCAACCUUGAUUAUUGAUUUUUCAGACCUAAUUUGUAGAAUAACACCAAACUGAUUCGACCCAUUAUGUGUUGAUCGGAUCCAAUUCUAUGAACAGAUUAUUUAUUAUUAAAUCUUAAAGUCAAUCAACAAAUGUAAUCCAUAAUUUUAAAUCUAUUUUUUCUAAUUAUCAAUUGUUUAAACCAAAUACAUGUGUGUAUACAUACAUACACACACAUAUAUAUAUGUAUGUAUGUAUGUAUGUAUACAUACAUNNNNNNNNNNNNNNNNNNNNUUUCAUCAACCAAAACGAUCAACUUUGUUUAUGUCGAUAUUUAGAUAUUUUUCAGAUCAUAUAUAAUAAAUUUAAAUAUUUUUAUAUAUUUCAAUAUAGAAUUCUAAAUUUAAUCUUAAAAAUCUUCAAAAAAUUAUUUUUUUGAUGAAUUAAAAUCAUUCAAGUAAUAUAAUCUAUUUUAUUUUUUUAAUCUUCUCAUACCUUUUUAUCUGCAUAUAUAAAUCAAGAUAUCUUACAUUUUUGUGCAUAAAUUCUUAUAAUUUAUUUUAAAAAAAUAUGUUAAAAUAUAACAUAAAGGUCCAAAAAUGCGAUGAGCUAAUUUUGUAUUUGAUGCUGCAAUGGGCUUAAUGACAGUAAUCAAGAUAUAUAUAUAUUUUUUAAAAUAUAUAAUCUAAUCCAUUAAAUAAUAUUUCACAAAAUUUAAAAUAAAUUUAAAAUUUAAAAUUAAAAUUUAUUUAAAUUUAAAAUUUGUCAAAAUAUGAGCCUAAAUUUUUGGACAAUAUUCACAAUAUUCGGCUGCUCUAAGCCUCCCUCGGGACAUCUGAGUAUGAAAAAACAGAGAAAAAUUUUAAAAAAAUAUCGAAAAAACCAACGAAAACGAAUGAAAGAUGAAAAAAAGAUGGUAAGCCCUUUUUUUUUUCCCCUCUCCCUACUUUUUCUUUUCAUUCGAUUAUUUUUUCGGAGAUGUAGGAAAGGAGGGCAGUUGAGAGAGAUUAGAGGGUUUUUUUUUUUUGGCCCAAGUAUAUGGGAGUUUGUGCGAGCUGUGGCGGUGUGAGUUGGUCCCUUGAGGUUGUGAGAACUUAAUCUUAUGUCUCCAUUGUUGCCAUGGACGACUGUUCCGUCUUCGCUCCAGCGCCCACCGCCCGAUGUGCUCCCUGUUGGUGACCAUGGCGUCCGCGAGGGCUCGAGAAGUAUUCGAGGGAAAAAGAAAAGGAAGUAUUUGCAGCCCAAAAAGUUCUCGAACGGGUUCGACUCGCUUAUAUACUCUGGGCUUUUCGCAGGCCUGUACGACGCGGCUUCCAGUGUCUCGUCCGCUAGACUCGCUUUUUGGGUGCUCUAGGUUUCGAAAGGAGUCGGAGGACGGACAUGGCCUCCGGCCCGGCCGCUGCUCCGGGCUCCAGCCGGCAGUUCAACCUCGCGAAGGAGAGCGAGCUUAGGGUGGAGGUCGGCCCCGAUACUCCGCUCCGCGUCCGCCUCCUCUCCGGCACCGCGGAGAUCUUCGGCACCGAGCUUCCCCCGGAGAAUUGGCUUUCCAUCUCCCCUCGCCAAAAGCUCGCCGUGAGUUCCUUCCGUUUCCCUUCCCUUCCCCUCUUACCUAUUUUCUUGUAUUUCUCUCGUUAAUCUACUGUUGACUGCAAGAACUUGAAAAUCCUCGCUUUAGAUUUUCACAUGGAACGGCGCGACCGUCGAAUUGGAUGGAGUUAGCGAAGUUGAGUACGUUGCAGAUGAGGUACAUUAACUCAUGGCAUUUGGAUGGGUUUGAAGAGAUUUCUGUUUUCUUGGAUGUCUGGUUAUUUAUUAGUCGAGAUUUUACGUUUUGAUGAAUUUUAGACGCCUAUGGUGAGUUAUGUGAAUGUCCAUGCUAUUCUUGAUGGACGAAGGGUUCGUGCUAAAGCAUCCCAAGGCAGCGACAAAGAUUCUUCCCAGGUAUUAAGCUAUUUGUGUACUUCUAGCCCUCAGUGGUUACUCAGUUUCUUUCAAUUUUGCAACUGAUGGUGUUGGCUGUGAGUUAAGCAAUGACCACAUUCGCAGUUGUGGUUGUUUGCAGGGAAAGGCUGUUUCUGGAAAACUAUACCUUUGAGCGAUACAGAAUAUUCAUGUAGAAUGAUGAACAUAUAGACUGUGGGGUUCGAUUGUCGUCAUAACAAGUCUCACAGAUUUGGGAUUUAAAAUUGGUUUAGCAGGUUAAGAAAUAUUGGCAACUUGUAAGUGAUUUUGGCAAAGAGUGGGUAUUGCAGUUAAGAGUAAAGAACUAUAACAGAUUAAUGACAGGGAAAGAAUAUAAAGAAUGUGCAUGAGGAAAGAGAAAUGUUCAUUUAAUUAUUAAGUAUAUGGAAAAAGAUAUAUGCUAUCUCUUGUUAAAAAAUAUGUAGAAAACGAAAAAGUAAGUUUGUGAAUUUGUCAUCAAUUUGAAUGGUUCGUACUAGUGACAUACAUCAUUAGGAUGUCAAGUUAGGGGCGGUAUAUUGGAUGUGAUAGCUUGUUUUGGAUACAUAUUGUAAUUGGACUCCUUGAGUGAGAUGGGCUACCUUACAUAGAUGUUACUGAAACAUGUUAAGAGAUUAUAUAUGUUUGUGUAUAAUAAUUACUUAAAAGGAUUUACUUUCGUGCUACUUGUUCAGUGAGAGGUAGCAUAAGGUAUCUUCCCAUUCAAAACUUGGUAGGAGUUCAAGCAUUCUUUGUGGAGUUUGUAGUCUUUAAUCAUUUUUCUUUCUUACUUUUGCUGUCUAAUAAACUUUACAUUUGAAGUUCAAGCAUUUACUUUCUUAUUAUUUCAGGGUCCUCGAGUGAUUGUUGUUGGACCUAUGGAUUCUGGAAAGAGUAGCUUGUGCAGGAUGCUACUUAGCUGGGCUUGUAAACAAGGUUGGAAACCUACAUUUGUGGAUUUGGAUAUUGGUCAGGGGUCUAUAACAAUUCCUGGAUGUAUUGCUGCUACGCCCAUUGAGAUGCCUAUAGAUGCAGUGGAAGGAAUUCCUCUGGAAAUGCCUAUUGUAUAUUUUUAUGGGCACACUACUCCAAAGUAGGUUCUCUUGCCUCAUUACCAGCUUAUUAAUCAAUAUUUUAUGAUACAUCGGUCUUU
RNAcentral lists this long non-coding RNA (15620 nucleotides) under Elaeis guineensis (African oil palm). RNAcentral's name for it is "long non-coding RNA (EGUI_LNC016052)". Lineage: Eukaryota; Viridiplantae; Streptophyta; Magnoliopsida; Arecales; Arecaceae. The record is from RNAcentral.